CUUUGAGCCGUCAUCUCAGUAUCCUUCACCAGUUU
RNAcentral lists this small RNA (35 nucleotides) under Arabidopsis thaliana (thale cress). RNAcentral's name for it is "ATSL125370". Lineage: Eukaryota; Viridiplantae; Streptophyta; Magnoliopsida; Brassicales; Brassicaceae. The record is from RNAcentral.